CAGCAGCCGCGGUAAUACGUAGGUCCCGAGCGUUGUCCGGAUUUAUUGGGCGUAAAGCGAGCGCAGGCGGUUAGAUAAGUCUGAAGUUAAAGGCUGUGGCUUAACCAUAGUACGCUUUGGAAACUGUUUAACUUGAGUGCAAGAGGGGAGAGUGGAAUUCCAUGUGUAGCGGUGAAAUGCGUAGAUAUAUGGAGGAACACCGGUGGCGAAAGCGGCUCUCUGGCUUGUAACUGACGCUGAGGCUCGAAAGCGUGGGGAGCAAACAGGAUUAGAUACCCCAGUAGUCCCUGUCUCUUAUACA
RNAcentral lists this ribosomal RNA (301 nucleotides) under uncultured bacterium. RNAcentral describes it as "partial 16S ribosomal RNA". It matches the Rfam family "Bacterial small subunit ribosomal RNA", at positions 509 to 808 of the family's 1533-position model. The record is from RNAcentral.